Molecule: ribosomal RNA, 402 nt
Filed under: uncultured bacterium
Lineage: Bacteria
Description: bacterial SSU rRNA
Rfam family: Bacterial small subunit ribosomal RNA
Source: RNAcentral
UGGGGAAUCUUGCACAAUGGGGGCAACCCUGAUGCAGCGACGCCGCGUGAGCGAUGAAGCCCUUCGGGGCGUAAAGCUCUUUCGACCGGAACGAUAAUGACGGUACCGGGAGAAGAAGCUGCGGCUAACUACGUGCCAGCAGCCGCGGUAAUACGUAGGCAGCAAGCGUUGUUCGGAGUUACUGGGCGUAAAGAGUGCGUAGGCGGUUUUCUAAGUUCGGUGUGAGAUCUCCCGGCUUAACUGGGAGGGUGCGCCGAAGACUGGGAUGCUGGAGUGUGGGAAAGGCAGGCGGAAUUCCUGGUGUAGCGGUGAAAUGCGUAGAUAUCAGGAGGAACACCGGCGGUGUAGACGGCUUGCUAGACCAUAACUGACGCUGAGGCACGAAAGCGUGGGUAGCAAACA